GAGUUUGAUCCUGGCUCAGGAUGAACGCUGGCGGCGUGCUUAACACAUGCAAGUCGAACGAACCUUCGGGUUAGUGGCGGACGGGUGAGUAACGCGUGAGAAUCUGCCCUCAGGAGGGGGAUAACGGCUGGAAACGGCCGCUAAUACCCCAUAUGCCGAGAGGUGAAAUGAAUUUCGCCUGAGGAUGAGCUCGCGUCUGAUCAGCUAGUUGGUGUGGUAAAGGCUCACCAAGGCUUCGAUCAGUAGCUGGUCUGAGAGGAUGAUCAGCCACACUGGGACUGAGACACGGCCCAGACUCCUACGGGAGGCAGCAGUGGGGAAUUUCCGCAAUGGGCGCAAGCCUGACGGAGCAACGCCGCGUGAGGGAUGAAGGCCUCUGGGCUGUAAACCUCUUUUAUCAAGGAAGAAGAUCUGACGGUACUUGAUGAAUAAGCCACGGCUAAUCCGUGCCAGCAGCCGCAGU
RNAcentral lists this ribosomal RNA (463 nucleotides) under uncultured microorganism. RNAcentral's name for it is "bacterial SSU rRNA". It matches the Rfam family "Bacterial small subunit ribosomal RNA", at positions 9 to 521 of the family's 1533-position model. The record is from RNAcentral.